Molecule: non-coding RNA, 45 nt
Organism: Chelonia mydas (Green sea turtle)
Lineage: Eukaryota; Metazoa; Chordata; Testudines; Cheloniidae
Source: Rfam
AUAAUGGCCCUCUUCAGGGCCACGUAACAUGCCAGAUAGGUUCUG